GGAGAUGAAAGAGCGAACAAACAGCCAACCCUCUGUCCCUAGGGCCUCUGAACUGAGGAAAUGGCUGAAUAAUGAAUGAGGCCAGAGCACUUCAGAGAGGUGGCCCUGGGGACUGCGUGGGCAGCAGGAGAGGCAUGGACAGGAUGGGGGAGUGGCUGACAUGUGCAGAGACGCUGGGAGCCCGAAGAGGUCGUGGCUGUGGCUUCCGCUGCAGGUUAGGGCUAUUGACUUGCAUGGAGGAACAUGGCCCACGGACUGUGUUGCAAACCCUCAGUCUGUUGCACAUCUGACCCCCUGGUACUGUUCCUAUUGUACUUCAUACCUUGAGAGUUUGUGGAGCUGGAUUUGUGCUGGAUGCAGGGAGCCCCUCCUAGGAUGAGGGCUGCAGAACUGGAAACUACUCCAGGGCAUCUGGGUGGUGGGGCACUUUCCUGGGCUUUCUCUCUCUGCCAACAUCAAGCAUGCCACCGUAGCAAGCAGGAGAUCCUUUCCACCUCCUCUCAGCUCAAAGCAUUGAAGACAACGUCCCUAGGCUCUGAUUGGCCCAGGGCCCUCCUGUACACGUUCUUCUAGGUGGCAAUCAACCCUGCCACAUAAACAGAGUUCUCCCAGGCCUGCCUUGGCUGGUUGUAAUAAAUACUGGCCAGAUCAAAGCCCAGCCAAAGCCCCUUUGCAUAGGGUCCAUUGCCCCACCUGCUCUGCCAGGCACCUGCAUCCCUAACUUGAAGAGCUGGAGUCAAGAGUGCCAACUCCGGCCCUGGAAAGAUGGUUUGGAGAAAAGGUUUGCAGCUUUAGUGUGAGCUAGCCUGGAUCAACAGGGGGCUGGGAAAGUCCUGGGAAAUACUUCCGUGCACACACUGCAUAGGACCCUGGAGGUAGAGGGAGGAUGGGGCAGGCAGGGGGUAAACCCAUCCUCAAGGGAGCUUUGCUGAAAGUUUGAGGCCACCCUGGCCCCGCUUAGGGGCCUUUCCAGAAGUGUAGUUCUCCCCUGUUGCCCAGCCAGGCCCCUCUUCAGAGCUCCUUCUCCAGGCUGGUCCCUUGGGCUCCUUGCCUCCAUCAGUUCUGACAUCCUGCCUCCCUCAGGCCGGGCUGGGCUCCAAGCUGGACGGCACAGAGCAGAGACACCUCUGGGCAAGGCCACGUUAGAAAAACUCUCUAAGCCUGGAGAUGCCCUUAAACCCAAAUGCACAUGUCAUUGCAUCUCACAACAAAUUUCACUGUCGUUCAUGUUUUAUUAACAUAAAUGCCUUAAAAGCAGAUCAGAGAUUCAACUAAUUUGCUCAUUAGUAAAAGGAAAUUAGCCAUUUGAGAUCUGUUCUAAUAAAAUUAGCUUGGUGA
Molecule: long non-coding RNA, 1338 nt
Filed under: Homo sapiens (human)
Lineage: Eukaryota; Metazoa; Chordata; Mammalia; Primates; Hominidae
Description: HSALNT0181659
Source: RNAcentral